RNAcentral lists this long non-coding RNA (2348 nucleotides) under Sus scrofa (pig). RNAcentral describes it as "lncRNA (ENSSSCG00045036480.1)". The record is from RNAcentral. Lineage: Eukaryota; Metazoa; Chordata; Mammalia; Artiodactyla; Suidae.
UUUUUAGGGCCACACCUGUGGCAUAUGGAGGUUCCCAGGCUAGGGGGUCCAAUGGGAGCCAUGGCAACGCAGGAUCUGAGCCAUGUCUGUAAUCUGCACUACAGCUCAUGGCAACGCCAGAUCCUUAAGCCAUGGAUGGAGGCCAGGGAUCGAACCCAAAACCUCAUGGUUCCUAGUCCAAUGUGUUUCCACUGUGUCACGACAGGAACUCCCUAUUUCUUGACUAGCCUUUGGUUUUGUUUGUUUUGUUUUUGGCCACAUCCACGGCAUAUGGAAGUUUCCAGGCCAGGGACUGAACCCGAGCUGGCAGGUUCCUUAGCAAUGCCAGUGACAACGCCAGACCCUUAACCUGCUGUGCCACAAGCGAACUCCUAGCUUUUGGUUCUGAAACAAAAUGGCCUCAGGUGAGCCCAGGUAUCCAUGUAAGCUUGUAUGUUCUAUCACUACGUCAGGCAGCUAAGUGUCGUCUGAUGACCUUGGGUCCUGGGACGCUGAAGAGCCAAAUGUAACAAAUAGAGAAAGAGGUGGUUCCCAGGUAAUUAAUCAUGACCCAUGCCCCAGGGAUGCAGAGGGGAGGAAAGAGGACAGCAGAAUCAUCUUGUUCUGGAAAAGCUUAUUCUUGGAGGAGCUGAGCCUGGGGUAAGACACAGGGAAGAAGGUCUGCUUCUGCGCAUGGUGUUUUUCCAGGGGUUUUUGUCUUGACUUCUUCCCUCUUUCCCUUUCUCUCUGCUUAGACAAAGAUCAGCAGAAACACUGAUAGAUAAUCAGCUAGGCAUGACUGGAAACAGGUGACAUCAGGGUCCUUGGACGUGCUUGAUAAGGCGCAAACUACAGUGGCCUCUUCAGGGAGGAGGCAGGCCCUGAUCUGUCCCAAUCUUCAGGUCACAGGGUCCAAGUGUGGUCCGGAAUGCCAGCUCCAGCUUCCCUGCUUUACUUUGAACAUGAGUAGACACACACGCCCGCUGAAAAAUACCUUAUUUGCACACGCUGGACCACGUGUAGACAAGUCAGAUGGCUUUGUCACUUCAGAGCCUUCACUGCGGUCACGUACAGAGAGUCUCCGAAACAGAGCAAGAGGGUAUGGGAUGUUUUCCAAGUGACUGGAUCACAGAACCAAAGGCUGCUGUGUCAUACAGCGGACGUCAGGCCAUUAAAAGCUACGCACACACCUUCACAGGUCCCAGGGUCCCCAGAGAAUGAAAGCUCUUAACUCCUUAACAGAACACACAAGAGCGCUUCACACCUGGCCCCUUCUGCCUUGUAAACCCCACCACUCCUUCUUCCUAUCAGCUCCACUCCGAUGCUUCCAGAGGGUCAGGGGCCAGAUGCACAGGGUGCUCUCUCUGCUGAAAUCCCGUCCUCCUCCCCUUCCAGUCCACCUUUCCCAAGUCCUUCCAGACCUUGUGCGCGUAACGCCUCGCUGAAGGCGUCUCUCGUCGUUCUCACUCAUGUAGCUGUGCCCUCCUCUGUCCGUUCACAGCACUUUGGUUUUGUCUGUAGUGCAGCACUUUUCUCAGUGGAUCUCAAUUAGCUAUUGACUGACGGACUGAUUUCCUUCUAAUCUGGGCUCCUGAAGGCCAGGAACGUAUCCCUGACAUCCCCAGUGAGAGGCAUCCUGCAGGCACUCAGCAAGAGCCUACAUCUUCGCUCUCUUCUGCUGGGGCCUCCAUACUCCUCAACAAAGCUUUUCUGGACCCACAAGAGGGAAGAUCAGAGUUACGCUUUUUUUUCUAGCACAAUUAACAAGAGGGAUACUUGUGUGUUUAUGCCCACCGGACCUCCCAAGGACAGCAAUCAUAGAAGCCUCUGCGUAUUGCACGGCCCCCACACAAAGCUAAGUCCUCAUGCGCAGAUAUCAAUUCAAUCCUCCUUUUUGCAGUCAGGUAUAGUCAUGAGCCACCCUCAGACGUAGCCAUAAUAAAGCCUAUUUUUCUAACAGCUCAAAGUAUUGGAAAAUACGGUUCCUCCAAUUUUGAUAAAGUCCCUGUAGAUUUGGGAGCAGAAAACAUUUUAUUCGUGUCUACUCAUAACAGGGAAUUCCAAUAAGACUCAAGGUUAUUCAAAGACCAAAACUAAUGGUUCUAAGCCAUGAUUCUUCUACUCACAGUGAGUUUUGUGCUUCUCAGAUCCUCCAGACUAAUGUUUUUCAAAAAAUACAUUUAAUAGAACUUUGGUCUGACUUUAGAAAUAAGCUUCCAGAGCAGGACAUAGGUCCUUCAAGGAAUCCUACAUUUCCACAUGAAGUAGGAAUAAGAUACAGCAUUCACUGACUGAAACACGGAACCACAAGUAAGACCACAGCGAGAAGCAAAGAAAUCCCCUUCCUCUUCUUUGCCUCACACCAAAAG